UACGAAGGGGGCUAGCGUUGCUCGGAAUCACUGGGCGUAAAGCGCACGUAGGCGGCUUUCUAAGUCAGGGGUGAAAUCCCGGAGCUCAACUCCGGAACUGCCUUUGAAACUGCAGUGCUAGAAUCCUGGAGAGGCGAGUGGAAUUCCGAGUGUAGAGGUGAAAUUCGUAGAUAUUAGGAAGAACACCAGUGGCGAAGGCGGCUCACUGGCCCGGUACUGACGCUGAGGCGCGAAAGCGUGGGGAGCAAACAGG
This 253-nucleotide ribosomal RNA is filed under the name uncultured bacterium. RNAcentral describes it as "partial 16S ribosomal RNA". It matches the Rfam family "Bacterial small subunit ribosomal RNA", at positions 524 to 776 of the family's 1533-position model. The record is from RNAcentral.